AACGAACGCUGGCGGCAGGCUUAACACAUGCAAGUCGAGCGCCCCGCAAGGGGAGCGGCAGACGGGUGAGUAACGCGUGGGGAUCUACCCAUCUCUACGGAAUAACGCAUGGAAACGUGUGCUAAUACCGUAUACGUCCUUCGGGCGAAAGAUUUAUCGGAGAUGGAUGAGCCCGCGUUGGAUUAGCUAGUUGGUGGGGUAAAGGCCUACCAAGGCGACGAUCCAUAGCUGGUCUGAGAGGAUGAUCAGCCACACUGGGACUGAGACACGGCCCAGACUCCUACGGGAGGCAGCAGUGGGGAAUAUUGGACAAUGGGCGCAAGCCUGAUCCAGCCAUGCCGCGUGAGUGAUGAAGGCCCUAGGGUUGUAAAGCUCUUUCACCGGUGAAGAUAAUGACGGUAACCGGAGAAGAAGCCCCGGCUAACUUCGUGCCAGCCGCCGCCGUAA
RNAcentral lists this ribosomal RNA (447 nucleotides) under uncultured bacterium. Its description in RNAcentral is "partial 16S ribosomal RNA". It matches the Rfam family "Bacterial small subunit ribosomal RNA", at positions 29 to 523 of the family's 1533-position model. The record is from RNAcentral.